UACGGAGGCAGCAGUGGGGAAUAUUGCACAAUGGGCGCAAGCCUGAUGCAGCCAUGCCGCGUGAAUGAUGAAGGUCUUAGGAUUGUAAAAUUCUUUCACCGGGGACGAUAAUGACGGUACCCGGAGAAGAAGCCCCGGCUAACUUCGUGCCAGCAGCCGCGGUAAUACGAAGGGGCUAGCGUUGCUCGGAAUUACUGGGCGUAAAGGGCGCGUAGGCGGAUCGUUAAGUCAGAGGUGAAAUCCCAGGGCUCAACCCUGGAACUGCCUUUUGAUACUGGCGAUCUUGAGUAUGAGAGAGGUAUGUGGAACUCCGAGUGUAGAGGUGAAAUUCGUAGAUAUUCGGAAGAACACCAGUGGCGAAGGCGACAUACUGGCUCAUUACUGACGCUGAGGCGCGAAAGCGUGGGGAGCAAACAGGGAUUAGAUACC
RNAcentral lists this ribosomal RNA (429 nucleotides) under uncultured bacterium. Its description in RNAcentral is "bacterial SSU rRNA". It matches the Rfam family "Bacterial small subunit ribosomal RNA", at positions 340 to 786 of the family's 1533-position model. The record is from RNAcentral.